UGCAUCAAUCUUACCAGAUCAAUCACCAUCCCCAUGAUGAUCUAUCGAUCAGGAUCAAUUUUAAAAUUAACCGUCAAUGACACAUGUCUCAAAUUCUUAACUCUUGAGAAUAUAUGUUGUCAUCUUAUUAACUCUCUAGAUGAUUUAUGGACACAUACACUAUAUGAAUAAAAAUUAACUACCUUAAAUAAUUAGAUCAAGUAUGAAAUUAUGUCUUAGAAAAAAUUAAUGUGUUAGCCUGA
RNAcentral lists this long non-coding RNA (242 nucleotides) under Elaeis guineensis (African oil palm). RNAcentral's name for it is "long non-coding RNA (EGUI_LNC060998)". The record is from RNAcentral. Lineage: Eukaryota; Viridiplantae; Streptophyta; Magnoliopsida; Arecales; Arecaceae.